Molecule: long non-coding RNA, 1180 nt
Filed under: Phoenix dactylifera (date palm)
Lineage: Eukaryota; Viridiplantae; Streptophyta; Magnoliopsida; Arecales; Arecaceae
Description: long non-coding RNA (PDAC_LNC014693)
Source: RNAcentral
CAAGCAGAGCAUUCUCACGGUGUCAACUGCUUGCAAGGUAGGGAUGCAUCUCCUCAGUUCGCAUCAGUUGCUAUAUUCUCCUCUUGCUGGUGGUAUGAAUUUUUGGUUCAUUUUUCUUCUUUUCACGACGCAAUUAAAAUUAGUGUAUUUCAAGCAGGAAUAACUUCCGCAAGAAACAUGUACUGUUUUGAGACAUUUAUAGGUCUCUUUAGCCUAUUAUUAUUAUUAUUGUUGUUGUUAUUAUUAUUUUUGAUAGAAAGGACUCAUAGUGGAUGGGGGUAUCUUUCCUCCAAAUGCUUAUAACAUCCCAAACCCUGAUGAAUGUAGGGUUGAUCCCAAUUUAUUAGGUACAAUUAUUAAAGACCUUACCAGUUUGGUAAGUUGAUACUUUCGUGCCUUGGCUUAUAUACGAAAUAGUUUUCUUGUUGAAUGUCGUUUUGCAUUGUGUGGAGCACGCCUUCCACUCAUUCUUCCGAGUGACAAAGUUUAUUUUUUUAACUAUAUUUCUAGGUUGGUCGACGGAAACAAACUUUUUGGUACUGGAGCUAACAAUUAUGGCUGGCAUGAAAAUUUAAUUCCCAAACAUUUUUUUUUAAAAAAAGUAGAAUAAUUAUCUGACAAGUUACUUGUUUCUUGUUGGCUACCGUUUUUAGAAUACUUCCAGUCUUGGGGGUGUAUUCAUUGUCCAUUAAAAAAACAGGUGGAUAGGCAUAAAUGGAUAUAAAUACUCCUUACUCAUGCCUAUUUUUCAGAACCGCUAUUUAAAAGGCAAACCUUAGGCCUGUUUUAUUCCUGAUCCAUUGGAUGCCACAGAGAUCAGGACCUGUUUGGAUAAGCUUGAAUUCAUGAGAUAGGGAACAGGAUUCCAAUAUAUUUAGACACUUUGGUGGGAUUUACCUAGGGCUGUAGCACGAAGGGCAGGUAGUGGGAGCUGGAGUGAGAUUGUCCACAGGAUCAGAAAAAAUGCCUCUCAAGAUCUUUCUCGCACUUUCUUCCUCUCUCGUACCCUCCCUCUCCCUGUCAAACUCCGCUUCAACCCCGGCUUUUUACGCCGGAAGUUUCCAAACAUGACGCCAUUAGAGUAUAUCAGGCCCCGCCUACUCCACACAAUAACCAACCUUCCCAAGCCCAUUCCCGCAAGUAGAGAGGAAUCCUUCUUUAGGUUUUUUUUUUUUUUUUU